Molecule: ribosomal RNA, 578 nt
Filed under: Colletotrichum ampelinum
Lineage: Eukaryota; Fungi; Ascomycota; Sordariomycetes; Glomerellales; Glomerellaceae
Description: eukaryotic LSU rRNA
Rfam family: 5.8S ribosomal RNA (bases 206-359)
Source: RNAcentral
UCCGUAGGUAGGUAACCUGCGGAGGGAUCAUUACUGAGUUUACGCUCUAUAACCCUUUGUGAACAUACCUAUAACUGUUGCUUCGGCGGGUAGGGUCUCCGCGACCCUCCCGGCCUCCCGCCCCCGGGCGGGUCGGCGCCCGCCGGAGGAUAACCAAACUCUGAUUCAACGACGUUUCUUCUGAGUGGUACAAGCAAAUAAUCAAAACUUUUAACAACGGAUCUCUUGGUUCUGGCAUCGAUGAAGAACGCAGCGAAAUGCGAUAAGUAAUGUGAAUUGCAGAAUUCAGUGAAUCAUCGAAUCUUUGAACGCACAUUGCGCCCGCCAGCAUUCUGGCGGGCAUGCCUGUUCGAGCGUCAUUUCAACCCUCAAGCUCCGCUUGGUGUUGGGGCCCUACAGCUGAUGUAGGCCCUCAAAGGUAGUGGCGGACCCUCCCGGAGCCUCCUUUGCGUAGUAACUUUACGUCUCGCACUGGGAUCCGGAGGGACUCUUGCCGUAAAACCCCCCAAUUUUCCAAAGGUUGACCUCGGAUCAGGUAGGAAUACCCGCUGAACUUAAGCAUAUCAAUAAGCGGAGGA